GGAUGUGAGAUAGCACCUGUCUGUCACCACUGAUCAGGGGCAAUCUGGCUGGCUAGGAGGUGCCCCCUUCCUCCCUCACCACUCCCAAAGCUACACACUGGGUCAAAGAGAAUAGACAGAGAACUCUUUUUUGCUCCAAGAUGUGUGAGUAGCUGCACUCUUCUGCCAGAACCUCAAACAAGCUCCGCUUGCAGGAGGGUGGAGACCCGGCUUCAAGACUCCAGACACACCUGUGCUGCGUGCACAUGGUAGUCUGCUUUUCUC
This 264-nucleotide small nuclear RNA is filed under the name Neotoma lepida (desert woodrat). Its description in RNAcentral is "7SK RNA". It matches the Rfam family "7SK RNA". Rfam says of the family: 7SK was discovered as an abundant small nuclear RNA in the mid-70s but a possible function has only recently been suggested. Two independent studies have found that 7SK RNA binds the CDK9/cyclin T complex (known as elongation factor P-TEFb). Lineage: Eukaryota; Metazoa; Chordata; Mammalia; Rodentia; Cricetidae. The record is from Rfam by way of RNAcentral.